CGAACGUUAGCGGCGCGCUUAAUACAUGCAAGUCGUACGGGAAAGGGGAUUUCGGUCCCUGAGUAUAGUGGCGCACGGGUGAGUAACACGUAGGUAAUCUACCCCCCGGCGGGGGACAACGUUUCGAAAGGAACGCUAAUACCGCAUACGACCACAAUCGCUUCGGCGGAUGUGGGGAAAGCUGGCCUCUCCAUGGAAGCUAGCUCCGGGUGGAUGAGCCUGCGCCCCAUCAGCUUGUUGGUAGGGUAACGGCCUACCAAGGCUUAGACGGGUAGCUGGUCUGAGAGGAUGAUCAGUCACACUGGCACUGGAACACGGGCCAGACUCCUACGGGAGGCAGCAGUAGGGAAUAUUGGACAAUGGGCGCAAGCCUGAUCCAGCGACGCCGCGUGGGUGAUGAAGGCCUUCGGGUUGUAAAGCCCUGUGGGGAGGGACGAAAAAGGUGGAGGCGAAUAGGCUUCACCCUUGACGGUACCUCUUUAGCAAGCACCGGCUAACUCU
Molecule: ribosomal RNA, 501 nt
Filed under: uncultured bacterium
Lineage: Bacteria
Description: bacterial SSU rRNA
Rfam family: Bacterial small subunit ribosomal RNA
Source: RNAcentral